Molecule: ribosomal RNA, 253 nt
Filed under: uncultured bacterium
Lineage: Bacteria
Description: partial 16S ribosomal RNA
Rfam family: Bacterial small subunit ribosomal RNA
Source: RNAcentral
UACGAAGGGGGCUAGCGUUGCUCGGAAUCACUGGGCGUAAAGCGCACGUAGGCGGCUUCUUAAGUCAGUGGUGAAAGCCCGGAGCUCAACUCCGGAACUGCCAUUGAAACUGUGAAACUUGAGGAUGAGAGAGGUGAGUGGAAUUCCCAGUGUAGAGGUGAAAUUCGUAGAUAUUGGGAAGAACACCGGUGGCGAAGGCGGCUCACUGGCUCAUUUCUGACGCUCAGGCGCGACAGCGUGGGGAUCAAACAGG